This 247-nucleotide ribosomal RNA is filed under the name uncultured bacterium. RNAcentral's name for it is "partial 16S ribosomal RNA". It matches the Rfam family "Bacterial small subunit ribosomal RNA", at positions 530 to 776 of the family's 1533-position model. The record is from RNAcentral.
GGGGGCUAGCGUUGUUCGGAAUUACUGGGCGUAAAGCGCACGUAGGCGGCUUUGUAAGUUAGAGGUGAAAGCCCGGGGCUCAACUCCGGAACUGCCUUUAAGACUGCAUCGCUUGAAUCCAGGAGAGGUGAGUGGAAUUCCGAGUGUAGAGGUGAAAUUCGUAGAUAUUCGGAAGAACACCAGUGGCGAAGGCGGCUCACUGGACUGGUAUUGACGCUGAGGUGCGAAAGCGUGGGGAGCAAACAGG